This 18-nucleotide non-coding RNA is filed under the name Arabidopsis thaliana (thale cress). Lineage: Eukaryota; Viridiplantae; Streptophyta; Magnoliopsida; Brassicales; Brassicaceae. The record is from RNAcentral.
UGAACAGCCUCUGGUCGA